GAAGUGCGAUAAGCAAUGCGAAUUGCAGAAUUCCGCGAAUCAUCAGAUCUUUGAACGCAAGUGGCGCCGAAGGGAUAUCCUUUCUGCAUGUCUGUUUCAGUGUCUGAGAGGUUUCAUACUAAUCUUAAUGUGAUUGAUGGGAUCGGUAAUGUGAGGUAGGUACUCGUAUCUACCUCACAUUAUCACAUUUCAUCUCUCAUGAAAGAUACGUGACUGGAUCUUUCGGUCCAAUGAAGUGGUCACGUCACUCGCAUAUGACUUCAUGGAGAACUCACCGAAUUAUCCGGAUACUCACAGUACCAAUGCUCUUACCAUUCAUUUGGUAAGGAUCUCCUCCAUGCCCUGCAUCUGUAAUAGGCAAGAUCACCCGCUGAACUUAA
Molecule: unclassified non-coding RNA, 380 nt
Filed under: uncultured fungus
Lineage: Eukaryota; Fungi
Description: sequence contains ITS1
Rfam family: 5.8S ribosomal RNA (bases 1-105)
Source: RNAcentral